GACAAUGGAAAAGAUAUGUGGGACGCACUCGAGGCCAAGUUUGGGGUCUCGGAUGCCGGCACUGAGCUGUACAUCAUGGAGCAAUUCUAUGAUUACAGGAUGACUGAAGAGCGCUCCGUGGUUGAGCAGGCUCACGAGAUACAGUCAUUUGCUAGAGAACUUGAGCACUUCAACUGCAUGCUACCGGACAAGUUUGUUGCCGGGGGUAUCAUCACUAAGCUUCCUCCUUCAUGGAGGAACUUUGCUACCUUACUGAAACAUAAGAGACAGGAGUUUUCCGUUCCGGAUCUCAUUGGUACUCUUGAUGUGGAAGAAAAGGUGAGAGCAAAGGACACACGUGCUCGAGGUAUUGAGGGAGGAUCUAGUGCCAAUCUGGUACAGAAGAAAAACUUCCAGUCCCACAAGUUCAAGAACAAGGGCAAGUUUGAUGGUAAAGGAAAGUUUGAUGGGAAGAACAAGGCUGUGCAGCACAUGAACUUCAAGAAGAAGAAUGACAAGAAGAAAGGUGCUUGUCACGUGUGUGGAGAUCCUGAUCAUUGGGCUCCUAGUUGCCCCAAUCGCUAU
Molecule: ribosomal RNA, 564 nt
Filed under: Triticum aestivum (bread wheat)
Lineage: Eukaryota; Viridiplantae; Streptophyta; Magnoliopsida; Poales; Poaceae
Description: partial small subunit ribosomal RNA
Source: RNAcentral